UCUAUUAAUUUUUUAUAUAUAUUUUAAAAUUACUUUUUUUAGGAAAACAUUUGAUUAUUGGCAUACAAAAUUAUCACUUUGUCAUCAUUAAGCAAUGAAACACAACAGCACUAAAUUUUUACUGCAGUUUAUGUAAUAAUUCGAAUAUAAGUUGCGCAAACAUCGUUAUGUAUUACACCAUAAAUAAUUAUUUUGGUCAGACCGCUGGAUAUGAAUCAUAUCAAAUGUAAAAUCCAUAAAUUG
RNAcentral lists this long non-coding RNA (243 nucleotides) under Ananas comosus (pineapple). RNAcentral describes it as "long non-coding RNA (ACOM_LNC014306)". Lineage: Eukaryota; Viridiplantae; Streptophyta; Magnoliopsida; Poales; Bromeliaceae. The record is from RNAcentral.